This 214-nucleotide long non-coding RNA is filed under the name Brassica napus (rape). Its description in RNAcentral is "long non-coding RNA (BNAP_LNC021374)". The record is from RNAcentral. Lineage: Eukaryota; Viridiplantae; Streptophyta; Magnoliopsida; Brassicales; Brassicaceae.
UUCUUUAGUCAAUAGUAUAUAUUAUGUCAAUUUGAAUAAUGACAUAAACGAUAACAUCAGCACAAACAUUGGGCUAUAAAAUGUUAUAUAUGUCUAUGUACAUUUAUUGUCUAAAAGCAUUUUUCCAAUGUAUUAUUUGAUUUGUUGUUUCUUUGAAAUGGAAUAAGUACAUGUUAAAGUUGAGUUUCCUUCCAACUCAUUUUAUAAUAAAUAG